UUUAUAGAUGCAUCUUCUGACCUCCACGUUAGAAAGCAAAUUAUGCACUUUCACAGUAAGUAACUAACUUACUGAAGUGUGCACGUUAGAGUGCGCGUCGCACUGGCUUAAUUUAUUUAUUUAUUUUUAAAUAUACGUUAAAUCUGUUCCAGUUUUCCUAAGAAUACAGAAAGAAGGAAGAGGUGGUCUUUUUUAAUGAGGAGAGAAAAAACUGGGAGGCCAAGGAUUGGUGCACCGUGUGCAGUAAGUACUUCAGGACUGACGAUUUUGACAGAAGUGGUCAAACUGUUCGGCUUCGAGAGGGUCGGAGCCUUCCGUUUUUGAUAAUUUGCCCAGUCAUCUGCAAAAGAAAACUAGAAUCAGAAAAAUCAGAGCAUCACAAUUUGCCUCUGCCCCUGGUGUGUGUCAGUCUAAUUCCAGCUCAAAUUGUCAUUCUCACCAUGAUGUUAUUAGUGAGGUGACAGCAGUAGCUCCUCCCCCCUCUGGACCUCGGGGAUAGCAGUAGCUCCUUCCCUGGCACUCAGGCUGGCUAUUGUUCCUUUCCCUCUGGUACUGGGGAUGUCAGCUCCUCCCUCUCGGGCUCUGGGGACUUUUUAAAAUUACACAGGCAAUUGGAGUUUCUGCUAAUACCUAGAUAUUUUUCAUUUGCUGUUAUUUGCAGUGGUUUCUAAAGAUAUGUUUCUUUAUUUUUAAAUACACUACCGGUCAAAAGUUUUAG
This is a long non-coding RNA of Polyodon spathula (Mississippi paddlefish), 718 nucleotides long. RefSeq lists it as uncharacterized. The transcript has 3 exons. The record is from RefSeq and is a predicted model, not a curated record. NCBI's taxonomy places the organism in Eukaryota, Metazoa, Chordata, Actinopteri, Acipenseriformes, Polyodontidae.